This 547-nucleotide long non-coding RNA is filed under the name Olea europaea (common olive). RNAcentral describes it as "long non-coding RNA (OEUR_LNC009670)". Lineage: Eukaryota; Viridiplantae; Streptophyta; Magnoliopsida; Lamiales; Oleaceae. The record is from RNAcentral.
UUGGAUCAAGGUAAGUCUUCAUGUCCCGGAAAAAAGAACAGUUUUUCUAAUCAAAAUAUAAUGAGCUAAUGUAAACUGGACACAGACUGAUCAAUCAACAGCCCUAUACUGGACUAAAAAUCACCGGUUUUAUUGCUUUACAGGAAGUUUUUUCCCCACUUGAAGAAAGGAUACAUAAUCAAACUCCAUUCAUGAAAUCAGCUAAAAAAGAAUCCGAAGUAAGAUAAAUUAAGCGACGGUGAUAACGAUAACAGCGAACCCUAUGUAAUUUAUUAAAAAAUAAUAAUAAAAAAUCCUUACUUAAAUUACUCAAGAAAGGAGGUUUAUUCACUAUAUCAGAACAAGAUUUUAUGGGAAUGAAUUUCUGCAAAAAUUAUUACCUAAAUUGCACCACGUGAACCCGAAGAUAGAUGGAGAAGCAAAAAUUGCACAGGAGACGAGAGGAAGGUGUCCCUGUCGACGGGGCGAGGGGCGAGGGAAUUGACAGAGACCAUACAGGUACGAGUUAAUCGUUACACUUGUCACUCAACUUAGCCCAAUGUUCUUG